GACGAACGCUGGCGGCGUGCUUAACACAUGCAAGUCGGGCGGUAAGGCCCUUCCGGGGGUACACGAGCGGCGAACGGGUGAGUAACACGUGGGUGACCUGCCCUUAGCUCUGGGAUAAGCCUGGGAAACUGGGUCUAAUACCGGAUAUGACUCCAUGGCGCAUGUUGUGGGGUGGAAAGCCUUGCGCGGCUAGGGAUGGGCCCGCGGCCUAUCAGCUUGUUGGUGGGGUGAUGGCCUACCAAGGCGACGACGGGUAGCCGGCCUGAGAGGGCGACCGGCCACACUGGGACUGAGAUACGGCCCAGACUCCUACGGGAGGCAGCAGUGGGGAAUAUUGCGCAAUGGGCGGAAGCCUGACGCAGCGACGCCGCGUGGGGAUGACGGCCUGGUGUAAC
RNAcentral lists this ribosomal RNA (395 nucleotides) under uncultured bacterium. RNAcentral describes it as "bacterial SSU rRNA". It matches the Rfam family "Bacterial small subunit ribosomal RNA", at positions 28 to 429 of the family's 1533-position model. The record is from RNAcentral.